This 100-nucleotide small RNA is filed under the name Pan troglodytes (chimpanzee). Its description in RNAcentral is "processed transcript". Lineage: Eukaryota; Metazoa; Chordata; Mammalia; Primates; Hominidae. The record is from RNAcentral.
GUUGAAGAAAGUGAAUGAUGGAGAAUGGUAUCAUGUGGACUUCCAGAGAGACGGACGGUCAGACAUUUAGGUAGCAGGAAAAUCCAUCAAGAAGGAAGGU